GUUUUCCUGAAAUACACCGUUCAGUUUUGUAAGACAUAAAAGGAUUGCUUGGAUUGUACAGAAAUCUGAAAAUUAGUAUUCUAAGUCCAUUGAGUGAUAGCUGCUAUAAUAUGGAUGCUUCUUCCAUGGCUUCAAUCCACCUCUGUGCUGAAUAGUUAUCAUCUGCUCGGAAGCUAUAAAACAGAGUUUGCUUGUGAUAGAGAUGGAAAACUGUAUCUAUGCAUCCUUC
This 229-nucleotide long non-coding RNA is filed under the name Gallus gallus (chicken). Lineage: Eukaryota; Metazoa; Chordata; Aves; Galliformes; Phasianidae. The record is from RNAcentral.